CCUACGGGAGGCAGCAGUGAGGAAUAUUGGUCAAUGGGCGAGAGCCUGAACCAGCCAAGUCGCGUGAGGGAAGACGGUCCUAUGGAUUGUAAACCUCUUUUGUCGGGGAGCAAAAAGGCCUCGUGAGGCCACAAGUGAGAGUACCCGAAGAAAAAGCAUCGGCUAACUCCGUGCCAGCAGCCGCGGUAAUACGGAGGAUGCGAGCGUUAUCCGGAUUUAUUGGGUUUAAAGGGUGCGUAGGCGGACUGGAAAGUCAGCGGUAAAAUCGAGAGGCUCAACCUCUUUCCGCCGUUGAAACUGUCGGUCUUGAGUGGGCGAGAAGUAUGCGGAAUGCGUGGUGUAGCGGUGAAAUGCAUAGAUAUCACGAGGAACCCCGAUUGCGAAGGCAGCCUGCCGGGGUGCGACUGACGCUGAGGCUCGAAGGUGCGGGUAUCAAACAGGAUUAGAUACCCUUGUAGUC
Molecule: ribosomal RNA, 460 nt
Filed under: uncultured bacterium
Lineage: Bacteria
Description: partial 16S ribosomal RNA
Rfam family: Bacterial small subunit ribosomal RNA
Source: RNAcentral